GCUCUUUAUAUGGCUUGAUGGAUCUGGACUAAGUUUGUCACACAUGCCCUUCAUUAACUAACAAAUAACUGAAGCGCUUGAACUACACAUUCCAGCCCUUUCAGGCCCAAAGCUGAGGGAAAGAAAAUGAACAAAAUGGGUUGGCAGUUGCUAAGUGAAGGAUUGGCUGUGGUUAGGUAAAGUGGACCUCUGUGAUGUCACUGAGAAAGGGAGUGAAGGGGCUAGGUGACAUGUGUAUGAAGGGAAGGCAGGGGAGAAGGGUAGAGGAAGAAAGGGAAGAAAGAAAAGAAGGAAGGAAGGAAGGGAGGGAGGGAGAGAACACAGGAAGGAAGGUGAAAAGAAUGUUAGAAAAAAGGGACAAAGGAAAGGAGAAAAAGACGGGAGGAGGAAGGAAAGGGAAGAACAGGGUUGAAGGUAUAUGAGAGAAACCAAGGGAAGAAGUAAAGAAGGAAAGAAAAGAGAAGGAGAAGGAUACAAGGAAAAUGGAGGAAAGCACGAAAGAAUCAAAAAGAUAGUCUGCUCAAAGAGAGUUGGGCAGAAUGUUGCCAAGAAGACAUUGUGAGGAGAAGCCUAAGGAAGGAAGGAGAAGCCGAAGGGAGAGAAAAGGAGGCUGAAGCAGCUUUGUUUUCGCCUCACAAGGCAUCCACCUGCUUGAGAGGCGAGGAGGGGACAGAGACGCUACUUGCCAGUGAGAUUGUAAACAACACAAAUAUAGCAUCCCUACUUCGCGGAUAUUCACUUUUUGCGGGUGGUCCUGGAAUGUAACCGCUGCGAUAAGUGAGGGAACACUGUACACACCAAAUAAGCUGGGUCCAGUGGCAGCAGCUAGUGAGACAGAUGGGGCAAUAGCUCCAGUGCCUCCCACUUAUUAUCAUCCUAAUGUUACUCUGCUUCAGCAGCAGAAGCCAAACCACAAUCCUUACUUCUACUUCCUUGUUCCUGUCAUGCAGAGCUGUCUGCAGCUGUUGGAUAAUUCCUCCUUGCUCUGACUGCCAUCUACAUGAUUUUGCUUCAAUCUCGUC
This is a long non-coding RNA of Anolis carolinensis (green anole), 1022 nucleotides long. RefSeq lists it as uncharacterized. NCBI's taxonomy places the organism in Eukaryota, Metazoa, Chordata, Lepidosauria, Squamata, Anolidae. The transcript has 2 exons. The record is from RefSeq and is a predicted model, not a curated record.